Xiphophorus hellerii (green swordtail) is the source of this 727-nucleotide long non-coding RNA. RefSeq lists it as uncharacterized. The record is from RefSeq and is a predicted model, not a curated record. NCBI's taxonomy places the organism in Eukaryota, Metazoa, Chordata, Actinopteri, Cyprinodontiformes, Poeciliidae. The transcript is spliced from 3 exons.
AUAAUUUAUAGCUAUACAUGUCCAUGAGCUGGUAACAAGUUGUUGCUUUUAUUUGCUCAUUUCUAAUACCUAAUAUAUUCAAAUUCUGAGACUGGAUUUCUUAAAAACAUCUCUUCUGUGAAUAAAAUGCAAAGAUAACAACAAUAUGCUGUAUUAUUGGAAAAGAACAUUUCAAAUCUAAGUCACAGACAAUGUCUCUCUGAUGGACAGACAUUGGGAUGGAAAAUAGAGAGUGCCACUGUAAAUUUGUGCAUCUUUCUAUUCCGACCCCAGGUCAGUUCAGAACCAAUCUGAGCCCAAAGAUGGCAUGCUUCCUUCCUGUGCCCUGUCCCCUGGCAACAGAAACCCUGCAUGGUUCUGAAAAGAGGACAUGAGCCUGGGAAACUCUUUUUAGGAGAGCGGACGGGAGGCUCAAAGCACAGCGGGAACGGAAUGUGCAAAACGGAGGAUUCCUGCUCCAUAACCGGAUGCUACGUGCUUCCACUACACUGAUGCAAAUUACCUUCCUGUCCGAUGACUAACCGUGCCUAACAGUAGCCAUUAUUCUUUUCCACUCUGCAUGUUUGGAACAGGCAACAAACAGGUGCAGCAGCUCCAGGAAAGGGUCAACGCCUGUCAAACACUCCAAAGUAGGAUUAUGGCCGAAGGGUCAAGGCGUCAAGAGCCCAGUGACAACUGGGCACCUCUGCAGGGAUUUCCAGGUAGAUCCCAGUUUUACCUGUCAGUG